Molecule: ribosomal RNA, 28 nt
Filed under: mycorrhizal fungal sp. MC
Lineage: Eukaryota; Fungi
Description: partial 18S ribosomal RNA
Source: RNAcentral
AAAGUUCGUAGGUGACCUGCGGAGGAUC